RNAcentral lists this ribosomal RNA (425 nucleotides) under uncultured bacterium. RNAcentral's name for it is "bacterial SSU rRNA". It matches the Rfam family "Bacterial small subunit ribosomal RNA", at positions 357 to 772 of the family's 1533-position model. The record is from RNAcentral.
GGGAAUUGUUCGCAAUGGGCGCAAGCCUGACGACGCAACGCCGCGUGGAGGAUGAAGGUCUUCGGAUUGUAAACUCCUGUUGAUCGGGAAGAAUGUCUUCGGGGCCAACACCCUCGAAGAGUGACGGUACCGGUUGAGGAAGCCCCGGCUAACUCUGUGCCAGCAGCCGCGGUAAAACGUAGGACGCAAACGUUAUCCGGAAUUACUGGGCGUAAAGGGCGCGCAGGCGGUUGGAUAAGUUAGGCAUGAAAGCUCCCUGGCUAAACCGGGAGAGGCUGUCUGAUACUGUCCAGCUAGAGUGAGGUAGAGGGGUGUAGAAUUCCGCGUGUAGUGGUGAAAUGCGUAGAUAUGCGGAGGAAUACCAGUGGCGAAGGCGGCACCCUGGACCUAAACUGACGCUGAGGCGCGAAAGCAUGGGUAGCGAA